CUUGACCGAGCCCAACCAGAGCGGCCGGUCGCGGUCCUGCCCGUAGGUGGCCAGCAGCGCCUGCGCCUC
Non-coding RNA from Micromonospora humi, 69 nucleotides. The record is from Rfam. Lineage: Bacteria; Bacillati; Actinomycetota; Actinomycetes; Micromonosporales; Micromonosporaceae.